Molecule: ribosomal RNA, 725 nt
Filed under: uncultured Peptococcaceae bacterium
Lineage: Bacteria; Bacillati; Bacillota; Clostridia; Eubacteriales; Peptococcaceae
Description: bacterial SSU rRNA
Rfam family: Bacterial small subunit ribosomal RNA
Source: RNAcentral
CUUGCUCUUUCCGGAAUUGAGUGGCAAACGGGUGAGUAACACGUAAACAACCUGCCUUCAGGAUGGGGACAACAGACGGAAACGACUGCUAAUACCGAAUAAGUUCCAAGAGCCGCAUGGCCCAUGGAAGAAAAGGUGGCCUCUACCUGUAAGCUAUCGCCUGAAGAGGGGUUUGCGUCUGAUUAGCUGGUUGGAGGGGUAACGGCCCACCAAGGCGACGAUCAGUAGCCGGUCUGAGAGGAUGAACGGCCACACUGGAACUGAGACACGGUCCAGACUCCUACGGGAGGCAGCAGUGGGGAAUCUUCCGCAAUGGGCGAAAGCCUGACGGAGCAACGCCGCGUGAGUGAUGACGGCCUUCGGGUUGUAAAACUCUGUGAUCCGGGACGAAAAGGCAGAGUGCGAAGAACAAACUGCAUUGACGGUACCGGAAAAGCAAGCCACGGCUAACUACGUGCCAGCAGCCGCGGUAAUACGUAGGUGGCAAGCGUUGUCCGGAAUUAUUGGGCGUAAAGCGCGCGCAGGCGGCUUCCCAAGUCCCUCUUAAAAGUGCGGGGCUUAACCCCGUGAUGGGAAGGAAACUGGGAAGCUGGAGUAUCGGAGAGGAAAGUGGAAUUCCUAGUGUAGCGGUGAAAUGCGUAGAGAUUAGGAAGAACACCGGUGGCGAAGGCGACUUUCUGGACGAAAACUGACGCUGAGGCGCGAAAGCGUGGGGAGCAAACAGG